CAAGCUGUGAUGGGGAGGGAAAUAAUAGUACCGAAGUUCCUGAUGUCACACUGCCGAGAAAAGCUUCUAGUGAGAAAACAGCGGCCCGUACCGCAAACCGACACAGGUAGUCGAGGAGAGAAUCCUAAGGUGAGCGAGAGAACUCUCGUUAAGGAACUCGGCAAAAUGACCCCGUAACUUCGGGAGAAGGGGUGCUGAUCAUACGAUCAGCCGCAGUGAAUAGGCCCAAGCGACUGUUUAUCAAAAACACAGGUCUCUGCAAAAUCGUAAGAUGAAGUAUAGGGGCUGACGCCUGCCCGGUGCUGGAAGGUUAAGAGGAGUGCUUAGCGCAAGCGAAGGUACGAAUUGAAGCCCCAGUAAACGGCGGCCGUAACUAUAACGGUCCUAAGGUAGCGAAAUUCCUUGUCGGGUAAGUUCCGACCCGCACGAAAGGCGUAACGAUUUGGGCACUGUCUCAACGAGAGACUCGGUGAAAUUUUAGUACCUGUGAAGAUGCAGGUUACCCGCGACAGGACGGAAAGACCCCAUGGAGCUUUACUGUAGUUUGAUAUUGAGUGUCUGUACCGCAUGUACAGGAUAGGUAGGAGCCGUAGAAAUCGGAACGCUAGUUUCGAUGGAGGCGCUGGUGGGAUACUACCCCUGCGUUAUGGCCACUCUAACCCGCACCACUAAUCGUGGUGGGAGACAGUGUCAGAUGGGCAG
RNAcentral lists this ribosomal RNA (702 nucleotides) under Enterococcus faecium. RNAcentral's name for it is "partial 23S ribosomal RNA". It matches the Rfam family "Bacterial large subunit ribosomal RNA", at positions 1557 to 2268 of the family's 2925-position model. Lineage: Bacteria; Bacillati; Bacillota; Bacilli; Lactobacillales; Enterococcaceae. The record is from RNAcentral.